AACGAACGCUGGCGGCAGGCCUAACACAUGCAAGUCGAGCGCCCCGCAAGGGGAGCGGCGGACGGGUGAGUAACGCGUGGGAACGUGCCCCAAGGUACGGAAUAGCCCCGGGAAACUGGGGGUAAUACCGUAUGUGCCCUACGGGGGAAAGAUUUAUCGCCUUGGGAUCGGCCCGCGCUGGAUUAGGUAGUUGGUGGGGUAAUGGCCUACCAAGCCGACGAUCCAUAGCUGGUUUGAGAGGAUGAUCAGCCACACUGGGACUGAGACACGGCCCAGACUCCUACGGGAGGCAGCAGUGGGGAAUCUUAGACAAUGGGCGCAAGCCUGAUCUAGCCAUGCCGCGUGAGCGAUGAAGGCCUUAGGGUUGUAAAGCUCUUUCAGGGGGGGAAGAUAAUGACUGUACCCCCAGAAGAAGCCCCGGCUAACUCCGUG
This 432-nucleotide ribosomal RNA is filed under the name uncultured bacterium. RNAcentral's name for it is "bacterial SSU rRNA". It matches the Rfam family "Bacterial small subunit ribosomal RNA", at positions 29 to 507 of the family's 1533-position model. The record is from RNAcentral.